GGACGGAUUGGAAGAUGAGGAAGAUUUGUAAUUAGAAUCAGAAUUGAUGGAACCAACAAUAGUUAAUGCCGCAAGUGAUCAAUUGGGUGGGCGAGAAGAAAUAGUAAUUUUGUAGAGUUCUGUUAAGUAGUUUUUAGAAAGGUAACAAUUGUAUAUUUACGAGGAUGCUGCAUAGAUAGGAGUGGGAUUAUGUAGAAUAGAUAUUAGUUCAUUUUUGUAAGAUAUUGGUAAAAUAGACUAAUAAUCUAUAGAAUAGUCAGUUUAGGAGGACGGAUGGUUAACUUAGUUAUUAAAAGUGAUUAAUUAUAGGAUUAUGGUUUGAAUCUGGGAAUAGGGAGUAAGUAUAUAGGAGUUGUAGAAAUUAGUCUGAGGGCCAGACUAUGAUAGUCAUGAGCCACGGUAAGUUUGGUGC
This 412-nucleotide long non-coding RNA is filed under the name Physcomitrium patens. RNAcentral describes it as "long non-coding RNA (PPAT_LNC006086)". The record is from RNAcentral. Lineage: Eukaryota; Viridiplantae; Streptophyta; Bryopsida; Funariales; Funariaceae.